AAACAAGCACAAUCCUGACAGCAUAAUCAUCCCUCCGCUUCAACUUGACUAAACCAGGUGCACAUCCCUCGAAUGAGUUACUCAGAAUUCUUCAUCAAUCAUCCCCCCAACCCACCAUAUCCAGACAUCAAACUCAACCUAAAAAAAGCCCCCGCUAACAAAGAACCAUCGCUUCGGCAUCUAUACAUUCCACGUCGAGAUCCCUCGGUUUCGUAGGUAGCGCGCUUCUCGUUCGCUAACAAAGAACCAUCGCUUAGCGAGCGGCGUCGAGG
Molecule: long non-coding RNA, 272 nt
Filed under: Eucalyptus grandis
Lineage: Eukaryota; Viridiplantae; Streptophyta; Magnoliopsida; Myrtales; Myrtaceae
Description: long non-coding RNA (EGRA_LNC000571)
Source: RNAcentral